AGCAGCCAUCAACCAGUCGAGGCCAGGGGGUUCGAAUUGAUCUUGCUUCAUCUCAACCUUUUGUGAUGCCCUUUGGUGCUCCUGGUUCUGCUC
RNAcentral lists this microRNA precursor (93 nucleotides) under Hordeum vulgare. RNAcentral's name for it is "miR6179 stem-loop (hvu-MIR6179)". Lineage: Eukaryota; Viridiplantae; Streptophyta; Magnoliopsida; Poales; Poaceae. The record is from miRBase by way of RNAcentral.